Mus spicilegus (steppe mouse) is the source of this 131-nucleotide small nucleolar RNA. Ensembl annotates it as predicted gene, 24286. The record is from Ensembl. NCBI's taxonomy places the organism in Eukaryota, Metazoa, Chordata, Mammalia, Rodentia, Muridae.
UCUGGUAUUGGGUGAGGCAUUGCAGUUGUGGCUGCUGUAUCACAUGUUUGUCAGUAGGUGGCAGAGGAGAGGCUAUGUCUACCUCAGUGUUCUGACUUGUGAACUUCUGAAUGAUUAAGGAGUCUAAUAUU